GCUCGGUUAGCUCAGUUGGUUAGAGCGUCGUAUGUUGUUCUUAUCCCCUGUAAUAGAAAUGUCCACUAACCUACCCCAGGUACUAAUAAUGCGAAGGUCAUGAGUUCGACCCUCAUACUGAGCA
RNAcentral lists this transfer RNA (124 nucleotides) under Xylaria arbuscula. RNAcentral's name for it is "tRNA-OTHER". It matches the Rfam family "tRNA". From Rfam's summary of the family: Transfer RNA (tRNA) molecules are approximately 80 nucleotides in length. Their secondary structure includes four short double-helical elements and three loops (D, anti-codon, and T loops). Further hydrogen bonds mediate the characteristic L-shaped molecular structure. tRNAs have two regions of fundamental functional importance: the anti-codon, which is responsible for specific mRNA codon recognition, and the 3' end, to which the tRNAs corresponding amino acid is attached (by aminoacyl-tRNA synthetases). tRNAs cope with the degeneracy of the genetic code in two manners: having more than one tRNA (with a specific anti-codon) for a particular amino acid; and 'wobble' base-pairing, i.e. permitting non-standard base-pairing at the 3rd anti-codon position. The record is from RNAcentral. Lineage: Eukaryota; Fungi; Ascomycota; Sordariomycetes; Xylariales; Xylariaceae.